Molecule: ribosomal RNA, 254 nt
Filed under: uncultured bacterium
Lineage: Bacteria
Description: partial 16S ribosomal RNA
Rfam family: Bacterial small subunit ribosomal RNA
Source: RNAcentral
UACGGGGGGAGCAAGCGUUGUUCGGAUUUACUGGGCGUAAAGGGCGCGUAGGCGGCCUGUGCAAGUCAGUUGUGAAAUCUCCGAGCUUAACUCGGAACGGUCAACUGAUACUGCUCGGCUAGAGUGCGGAAGGGGCAACUGGAAUUCUUGGUGUAGCGGUGAAAUGCGUAGAUAUCGUAAGGAAGACCAGUGGCGAAGGCGGGUCUCUGGACAGUUCCUGACGCUGAGGCACGAAGGUCAGGGGAGCAAACAGG